CCGGACUGCUGCCUUUUGCCAUGCAGUCUCCUCCCGUCCCCUCUAGGCCAAUGGCAGAUGAGGAGCUGCCUUCGCCUCCCACCUCCUACCCCGCCGACAACGGGACGACCACGCACCCGAAUGGGACCCUGCAGCAGCUGCCUCAGAUUAUAAUCAUCGGUGUGAGGAAAGGGGGGACGCGGGCUCUGAUCGAGAUGCUAAGUCUUCACAGCGCCGUCGCUGCAGCUCAGAACGAGGUGCAUUUCUUCGACUGGGAGAGUCACUUCCAGAAAGGCUACCCCUGGUACCUGAGCCAGAUGCCUUACUCCUUCCCUGACCAGCUGACGGUGGAGAAGACGCCGGCCUACUUCACCUCCAGCAAAGUCCCCAAGCGCAUCUAUGACAUGAACCCUGACAUCAAGCUGCUGCUCAUCCUCAGAGACCCGACGGAGCGAGUGCUCUCGGACUACACGCAGGUUUUUUACAACCGUCUCCAGAAACACAAGCGCUACCAACCCAUCGAGUCCAUGCUGGUGAAGGACGGAGAAAUCAAUCUGAGAUACAAGGCCCUCAACCGCAGCCUGUACCACGUGCACAUGCAGAACUGGCUGCAGUACUUUCCGCUGGAGAAUAUUCACGUGGUGGAUGGGGACGAGUUGAUCAGGGACCCUUUCCCUGAGAUGAAGAAGGUGGAGCGCUUCCUGAAACUUGAACCUCAGAUCAACGCGUCAAACUUUUACUUCAAUAAAACUAAAGGAUUCUACUGUUUGAGGGACCACGGUAGAGAGCGCUGUUUACAUGACUCCAAGGGCAGGGCUCAUCCUCAUGUGGCGCCGAGCAUCCUGCAGAAACUCUACCAGUUCUUCCACCAACCCAACAAGAGGUUCUUUGAGAUGGUGGGUCGAACGUUUGACUGGAAAUAAACGCGUGAGCAGUUCGGUGUCCAUAGACUGGUAGAGUUAACGACGUCGCAAAGUGAAGUCCUGAUCGCAUGCACUGAGCCCAGAGCAGCAGUGUAUGUAGACAAGUACUCACCACACUAAAUUAUACCAGAUACAGUACUGUGGAAGCUUCAACCACAGAUCUCAACUAAGCAUGUGCUUGGACCAGAAACUGAAACCUGCAUCUAGUGUAUGAGUCACCUUCUAUCAAAAGACAAAUAUUGUUUCCUUUAGUACCUGAGAAAUAUUGCGUCACAUGAGAGUGUCUGAUACAACAGCUCUGUUCGGAUCAUUAAGGUGUACUGUACUGUAAAUAGUUUUUUAAAGAGAUGAGAUAAUAAAAAAUAAAGAUGUAUUUUAUUUUUAAGCAAGUCUCCUGUUUUUCAUCAACUGUCUAAAUGUUUAGAUAAUCCACUGGAUUUUAUUUCUGGAUAUUCGAGACAUUAGCACUGAGUUAUCGCUGGGGUCAAGGGGUUCGCCAAAUAAUAUCGUCAUCGUCCGUAGCCUACAAGAUAUUUAUUUGACUUAGAUUUUUUUUUUUCAUUGCAGGAGUUGUGGAUCUACUGUUUUGUGUCAAUCAUUAUGGUUAAAUAUGCUAUUUUGCAUCUUGACCUUACAGUGUUUGGUUUGGUCUCACUUCAGUAACACAACCUGACCACACGAGGCAGCAGUGGAUCAGCAGCUCCUGUGUCCGCUUGAGUCAUAAACGUUGAUUUUCACUG
This is an RNA transcript of Cynoglossus semilaevis (tongue sole), 1642 nucleotides long. It is a transcript of the gene named heparan sulfate (glucosamine) 3-O-sulfotransferase 1, with no coding region annotated. Lineage: Eukaryota; Metazoa; Chordata; Actinopteri; Pleuronectiformes; Cynoglossidae. The record is from RefSeq and is a predicted model, not a curated record. The transcript has 2 exons.